This 58-nucleotide transfer RNA is filed under the name Pelodiscus sinensis (Chinese soft-shelled turtle). It matches the Rfam family "tRNA", at positions 8 to 63 of the family's 71-position model. Rfam says of the family: Transfer RNA (tRNA) molecules are approximately 80 nucleotides in length. The record is from Rfam by way of RNAcentral. Lineage: Eukaryota; Metazoa; Chordata; Testudines; Trionychidae.
UAGCUCAGUGGUUUGAGCGUUGGCCUAUUAAGCCUAGGGUUCUAAGUUCAACCCUUAA